Molecule: ribosomal RNA, 773 nt
Filed under: uncultured Neocallimastigales
Lineage: Eukaryota; Fungi; Neocallimastigomycota; Neocallimastigomycetes; Neocallimastigales
Description: partial large subunit ribosomal RNA
Rfam family: Eukaryotic large subunit ribosomal RNA
Source: RNAcentral
UAGUCUCGCACAGAUGCAUAUCAAUAAGCGGAGGAAAAGAAACUAACAAGGAUUCCCCUAGUAACGGCGAGUGAAGCGGGAAGAGCUCAAAUUUGAAAUCUUAAAGGGUUUCCCUUUACGAAUUGUAGUUUAAAGAAGUGUUUUCUGUUGAGGUUUUGGUAAAAGUUCUUUGGAAUAGGACAUCAUAGAGGGUGAGAAUCCCGUAUUUGACCUUUACUUUCAACUUUGUGAUACACUUUCAAAGAGUCGGAUUGUUUGGGAAUGCAGUCCAAAAUGGGUGGUAAAUUUCAUCUAAAGCUAAAUAUUGGCGAGAGACCGAUAGCGAACAAGUACCGUGAGGGAAAGAUGAAAAGAACUUUGAAAAGAGAGUUAAACAGUACGUGAAAUUGUCAAAAGGGAAGCGUUUGACACCAGUGUUGUUUUUCUGAGAAUCAAUUAAAGAACUGUUUAUGCUAAGCUGUUUAGACUUUAUCAGCUAUCUGUUUAGUUUUGAGCUUUUCUUUAAUGCACUUUUCAGUUAACAAGUCAACAUCAAUUUCUUUUGCUGUAAAAAAGCUUGAGGAAGGUGGCUUGAGAUUCGUCUUAAGUGUUUAUAGCCUCUUGCCUAUGCAGUCGGAGAGAUUGAGGUCUGCAGCGUAGAUCCUUCGGGGCUAAAUGCAUUUGUGCUAAGUUAUAGCAUUUUAUAGACAACUUGUUGACUAUGAUUUGUCUUGUAGCUUACUCGCUUAUGUUAUUUUACCUACGCUUAGGAUGUUGAUCUGUAGUGCGUGCGC